Molecule: ribosomal RNA, 255 nt
Filed under: uncultured bacterium
Lineage: Bacteria
Description: partial 16S ribosomal RNA
Rfam family: Bacterial small subunit ribosomal RNA
Source: RNAcentral
UACGUAGGGUGCAAGCGUUAAUCGGAAUUACUGGGCGUAAAGCGUGCGCAGGCGGUUUUGUAAGUCAGAUGUGAAAUCCCCGGGCUUAACCUGGGAACUGCGUUUGAAACUACAAGGCUAGAGUGUGACAGAGGGGGGUGGAAUUCCACGGUGUAGCAGUGAAAUGCGUAGAGAUGUGGAGGAACACCGAUGGCGAAGGCAGCCCCCUGGGUUAACACUGACGCUCAGGCACGAAAGCGUGGGGAGCAAACAGGG